GUGCUCGCUUUGGCAGCACAUAUACUAAAAUUGGAACGAUACAGAGAAGAUUAGCAUGGCCCCUGUGCAAGGAUGACAUGCAAAUUUGUGAAGUGUUCCAUAUUUAA
Otolemur garnettii (small-eared galago) is the source of this 107-nucleotide small nuclear RNA. NCBI's taxonomy places the organism in Eukaryota, Metazoa, Chordata, Mammalia, Primates, Galagidae. The record is from Ensembl.